This 746-nucleotide ribosomal RNA is filed under the name uncultured bacterium. Its description in RNAcentral is "bacterial SSU rRNA". It matches the Rfam family "Bacterial small subunit ribosomal RNA", at positions 1 to 717 of the family's 1533-position model. The record is from RNAcentral.
CCCUUAGAGUUUGAUCCUGGCUCAGAACGAACGCUGGCGGCGUGGAUAAGACAUGCAAGUCGAGCGGAACACACUCGGUAGCAAUAUCGGGUGUGUUUAGCGGCGCAAGGGUGCGUAACACGUGGGUAAUUUGCCGUAAAGCUGGGGAUAACUCCGGGAAACCGGAGCUAAUACCGAAUGUGGCUUCUGGAGGCAUCUCUGGAACGCUAAAGCUGGGGACCCGCAAGGGCCUGGCACUUUACGAUAAGCCCGCGGCCUAUCAGCUAGUUGGCGUGGUAACGGCACACCAAGGCAAAGACGGGUAGCUGGUCUGAGAGGACGACCAGCCACACUGGAACUGAGACACGGUCCAGACACCUACGGGUGGCAGCAGUCGAGAAUUUUUCACAAUGGGCGCAAGCCUGAUGGAGCGACGCCGCGUGGGGGACGAAGGGCUUCGGCUCGUAAACCCCUGUCAGUCGCGAACAAGGUUCACCCGUGAAUAGCGGGUGGAUUGAUAGUAGCGACAGAGGAAGGGACGGCUAACUCUGUGCCAGCAGCCGCGGUAAUACAGAGGUCCCGAGCGUUGUUCGGAUUCACUGGGCGUAAAGGGUGCGUAGGCGGCUAGGCAAGUCUGAUGUGAAAUCUCCGGGCUCAACCCGGAAAUGGCAUCGGAAACUGCGCUAGCUGGAGGCUUUGGAGGGGGAACUGGAAUACUUGGGUGUAGCAGUGAAAUGCGUAGAUAUCAAGUGGAACACCGGGUGGCG